RNAcentral lists this ribosomal RNA (778 nucleotides) under fungal endophyte. RNAcentral describes it as "eukaryotic LSU rRNA". The stretch from base 521 to 778 matches the Rfam family "Eukaryotic large subunit ribosomal RNA", at positions 1 to 256 of the family's 3401-position model. The record is from RNAcentral. Lineage: Eukaryota; Fungi.
UGACCUGCGGAAGGAUCAUUACUAUUCGGUAGUUUACUACCGUUAUGAUGGGGAGUAGAAACUUUCUAGGCUUGCCUGGCGAGGAGUAUAUUCCUUUUCUCAACCCUUGACUUUUUGCGCACUCAUGUUUCCUUGGCAGGUCUGCUUGCCGGUUGGACAACUCAAGAACCCUUUAAUUUUCAAUCAGCGUCUGAAUAAUUAUAAUAAUUACAACUUUCAACAACGGAUCUCUUGGUUCUGGCAUCGAUGAAGAACGCAGCGAAAUGCGAUAAGUAGUGUGAAUUGCAGAAUUCAGUGAAUCAUCGAAUCUUUGAACGCACAUUGCGCCCCUUGGUAUUCCAUGGGGCAUGCCUGUUCGAGCGUCAUUUGUACCCUCAAGCUUUGCUUGGUGUUGGGCGUGUUGUCUACUUCAUUGUAGACUCGCCCUAAAUUCAUUGGCAGCCGAUAUCUUGGUUUGAAGCGCAGCACAAUUGCUAUUCAAGCCACCGUUAUCAGUACCCAGAAAGAAAAUUAUCACUUUUGACCUCGGAUCAGGUAGGGAUACCCGCUGAACUUAAGCAUAUCAAUAAGCGGAGGAAAAGAAACCAACAGGGAUUGCCCUAGUAACGGCGAGUGAAGCGGCAACAGCUCAAAUUUGAAAUCUGGCUCUUUUAGGGUCCGAGUUGUAAUUUGCAGAGGGCGCUUUGGCAUUGGCAGCGGUCCAAGUUCCUUGGAACAGGACGUCACAGAGGGUGAGAAUCCCGUACGUGGUCGCUAUCCUUUGCCGUGUAAAGCCCCU